AACGAACGCUGGCGGUAUGCUUAACACAUGCAAGUCGAACGAACAAAAUUGGGGCUUGCUCCAAUUUUAGUGAGUGGCAAACGGGUGAGUAACACGUGGGAAUCUACCUAUCAGUACGGAAUAACAUUUGGAAACAGAUGCUAAUACCGUAUAUUCUCCAAGGAGGAUAGAUUUAUCGCUGAUAGAUGAGCCCGCGUAAGAUUAGGUAGUUGGUAGGGUAAUGGCCUACCAAGCCGACGAUCUUUAGCUGGUCGGAGAGGAUGAUCAGCCACACUGGGACUGAGACACGGCCCAGACUCCUACGGGAGGCAGCAGUGGGGAAUAUUGGACAAUGGGCGAAAGCCUGAUCCAGCAAUACCGCGUGAAUGAUGAAGGCCUUAGGGUUGUAAAGUUCUUUUAGUUGGAAAGAUAAUGACGGUACCAACAGAAAAAGCCCCGGCUAACUCCGUGCCAGCAGCCGCCGUAA
Molecule: ribosomal RNA, 466 nt
Filed under: uncultured bacterium
Lineage: Bacteria
Description: partial 16S ribosomal RNA
Rfam family: Bacterial small subunit ribosomal RNA
Source: RNAcentral